AUUCCAGCUCCAAUAGCGUAUAUUAAUGUUGUUGCAGUUAAAAAGCUCGUAGUUGGAUUUCUGGUCGGAUCGCCUGGCCGGCUCCGCAAGGGGUCGUGCAUGGGUGCCUUCGUCCAUCCUCAGGGGGCCAGGCGCUGGUAUUCAUUUAUCGGUGUUUGAACGCCUGUCGUUUACUGUGAACAAAUUAGAGUGUUCAAAGCAAGGUGUACUUGAAUACAUUAGCAUGGAAUAAUAAGAUAGGACUUUGGUGGUUCUUUUUGAUAUUUUGUUGGUUUGCACGCCAAAGUAAUGAUUAAUAGGAGCAGUUGGGGGUAUUCGUAUUCAAUUGUCAGAGGUGAAAUUCUUGGAUUUAUAGAAGACGAACUACUGCGAAAGCAUUUACCAAGGAUGUUUUCAUUG
This 399-nucleotide ribosomal RNA is filed under the name Pedinellales sp. Its description in RNAcentral is "partial small subunit ribosomal RNA". It matches the Rfam family "Eukaryotic small subunit ribosomal RNA", at positions 582 to 975 of the family's 1831-position model. Lineage: Eukaryota; Dictyochophyceae; Pedinellales. The record is from RNAcentral.